Molecule: long non-coding RNA, 1027 nt
Filed under: Triticum aestivum (bread wheat)
Lineage: Eukaryota; Viridiplantae; Streptophyta; Magnoliopsida; Poales; Poaceae
Description: long non-coding RNA (TAES_LNC027397)
Source: RNAcentral
AUGGUACUCAAGAUGCUUCUUUUUUUUGCCUCUCAUUAUUAUUUUUGUUGGAGAAGAAGUUACAUUUGUUACGCACUAAAAGGCACCUGGUAGCAUAUCAUGUCAUCAGAUAAUCUUCUGGACUGUGUUCCUACUUCCUACUGCUUCACUGAUUUCUUGUGGUUGCUAGAAAAAUGAGAUUUGUCAAACAGAAGCUUCCUUCCGCCUGCCACUGACAUGCCACCGACGAUGUGUGAAUAUUACGUGAGCAGCUACAACCUUUUUUUAUGGAUGAGACGAUGAGCAGCUACAAACUUGAUACUGUUAAUGGUAGUCUCAUUCUUCCAAAAAAAAUAGAAAAACAAACUCAUACAUUUCAACACAGCUCCUUCUUCACAUAAACUUCCAGUUUAAAUGAAAAUACUAUUAUUUUCGAUGAAGGGAGCUUUAUUACUUAAAAGGUUUAAGCAUUAUACCCGGCCCCUCUGCAUAAAUGAAAAUACUAAUAGCAACAAAAAAAACUUAAUAAGAAAACUCCGACAAUGUGGACCGAGAUUGACUUGGUAGUAGAUCAAAUCACACGUGUUCAAUCUUUGCUCAAUGAGAACUGAGGAACAACUUUGUAAAAAAAACUACCCUACUCCAUACUGAUCAUUGCAUGACAUCAAUAUUUCUCUUACAGAACUAAACUUAGACAGCCAUGUAAGCUGUAAACAUUGUUCUUGAUUAAACGGACAAAACAUAAAGGAAUUAGAAGUCUCACCAUCAGUAUAUAAUGUUUCCACGCAAUAUUUUUGUCCGAACAACCACAAUCAAUAUCCAUUACAUCCACACUCGCCUCAAGAGGGAGAGUAGACCCGCCUGCACAAUAGAGACUAUAGAACAUUCACAUGAAGUGCUAAAAAAUGUAAUACCAAAAUUUAAUCUAAUGAGGAAGCAGAGCCCGCUGCCGCAUCCAUGGAUGGCCACCAGAGGAGUCUCCAGCGCCGUGCGACGUCGACCUGCCGCAAGGGCCCGAACGGGCAACGGCACACGCAUCCACCCGCUG